Molecule: long non-coding RNA, 1015 nt
Filed under: Callithrix jacchus (white-tufted-ear marmoset)
Lineage: Eukaryota; Metazoa; Chordata; Mammalia; Primates; Cebidae
Description: lncRNA (ENSCJAG00000078353.1)
Source: RNAcentral
UGUUGCUAGUCGUUCUUUAUAUGAAACGCUCCUGUUUUACCCACACUUUGACCCCUCUCUCUCCUUCUUCUUUUUUUUUUUUGAAACAGAGUCUUGCUGUGUCUCAGGCUGGAAUGCAGUGGUGUGAUCUCAGCUCACCGCAAUCUCUGCCUCCCUGAUUCAAGUGAUUCUCCUGCCUCAGCCUCCCUAGUAACUGGGAUUACAGGCACACGCCACCACGCCCAGUUAAUUUUUUGUAUUUUUAGUGGAGACGGGGUUUCACCAUGUUGGCCAGGAUGGUCUUGAUCUCUUGACCUCAGGAUCCAUCUGCCUUGGCCUCCCAAAGUGCUGGGAUUGCAGGUGUGAACAACUGUGUCCAGCUGACCACUCUCUCCUUCUAAGCACCGCUGCCCUACCCUGAAGCAUGACAGUUGGACAGCGAGAGAAUUGGGGACUGGUUUUCAGGACAAAUGUUAAUCGCCUAGACUCGCCGGUAUCUCUUUCUCUAAAAUGUGGUGGGGAAGGUGAAGAUAAUCUGUAAAGAUGGGCGGGCAGUGCUAGUCGCCAACCCUUACAGAGGGAAGACCACCUACCAGCCCCUCUUCUGAAACGUCACUGCAUUAACUCAUUUAAUCCGUGCAAAAAUUCAGUGAAGUAGGUUAUUAGUCUCAGCUCCUUCUUACAGAUGAUGAAACAAAGAUGCAGAGAGGUUGUGUAGUAAGGCCAAGACCACCCAGACUACGGCGGAACUCGGACCAUAACCCAAGCUGGCUGAGUCCAGAAUCCAAGCUCUCUAUCCGUCAGUUACGCCAGAAAAGAUCAACUUUCAGCAUGCCAGAAGGUCUUCCCUAGCUUUUCCAAGCAGCAGUGUGAAUCUUAUAUAGAAUAUUCCAUAACCACUGAACAUUUGGUUCGAGAUGCCAAUUUCUCGAGGAUGAGGAGAAACACAGUUGCCUCCGCCAAGGUACCAGCCUCUAGAGUCUGUAAGCCAAUACCUACCACUUCAUUUUAAAACCCAUGCAGAGCCCACAGAUGU